ACAGCGUGGAAGAGAAAGGAGAAUGAGAGGACUGAGAGGAAGGAAAGUGAAGGAGUUUUUAAGCACACAAAUGACAGCGUCUGAUCUACGUUUUCGAAAGGAGUAUCCAGACAGAAAGAUGUUCAUCCUGUCCCAGUCUUUCCUCAUCCACCAUCUUUUGGUUCUCUGGCUGCUUCAAGAGUUAGCAGAAUGAACUACGGCAGCGCCCUGGCCCGGGCCGGAGGAGGACGUCCGCAAAGUUCCAGCCUGUCUGUGUCCCGCACGUUUCCGGGACCCCCUCCCCCUGUCCACGGUGCCAGGAUGCACAAGCCAGAGGCGCUCCUCCAGGAUAGGAUCCAGGGACCGCUCCCACGCGCGGCCGAGCCACCCCACCUCCCCGAGCCCUCCCGACGGCGGCAGGCGCGAACGCUUACCGAGCCCGGCGCUGGGCGGGACCGCGGGGGACGCGCACGGCAGCUCCGCCUCAGGACCGCGGCGGCGUCUCGGCCCGCCGCUCCCCUCAGGGCCGCCGCCCGGUCCGCUGCUCGAAGCCCCGCGGCGGCGGCGGCGGCCUCGCCUCCAUGGCGAGGAGAAGCGGCAGAGAGAGGACUGGGCUGGAGGCUGCGAUGGCGGCGUGGUCCAGGGGUCUGUGCAAGAUGCCCCCGCGAGUCCCUGUCAGCGCCUCACUCGCCGCAGCCUCUCUCCCGUCGCGGCCUGGGCUGUAAGGCGCUUCGUCAUUGGCCGUUGAGAGGCGGGCGCUGGUUCGCUGACGCCGGGCGGGCGUCUCCGCCUCCGUGAGCCCCACCCCUGCGCGCCCCGCUGCGCCGCGGAGUUCCCCGGGCGCACUGGGGGUCUCCGGGUAACAGGACAGGACGCUCCCUAUCCUCCCCUGGCACACGUCUCCCACCUAGUCACGGUCCUAGGCCCCCGGGCAUGGGCUUUUUUCCUUGUUUACAGAUGAGGAAACUGACACCAGGCACAAGCCACACCAACUGGUGAACUCAGGCACUCGAAAGCCAUCUCCAUCCUUCUCCAAAUGUGAUCCUCUCUCUAACACACCCCGCGCCUCUGCCUCUGCCUCUGCCUCUCUCGCGCUCUCGCUCUCUCUCUCUCUCUCUCUCUCUCUCUCUCUCUCUGUCACACACACACACACACACACACACACACGAGAGAGAGAGAGAGAGAGAGAGAGAGUUAGUUGUAAGGCACUUAAAGGAUGUAAUUGCGAGAAGAAUUUGCCUAGUACCUAGGACCGGUCUAGCUCUGAGUAUGUCAUCUUAAAUAAACCAGCCCACAUCAUCCCCACCCGAACCCUAGGGAAAUCUCUCUUGCUUUCCAGAUGUGCAAGCUGGGCCUGAUUCUCUAGAGCUGGAUGGAAGCACAGCACACGGUGCUCCGCAGCGAGCGGGGAGAUACUUCUUGAUACAUGCAUAGUGGUCAGGAGAAGAUUGAAAGCGCUGAGAGAGACCAGGGAAGCGAACAGCGUUCUUUGUGCAUCUAGCUUCUAGGAACCAUAAGUCGAUUUUUUCGGAAGGUAGCAGUCCUCAGUUUAGAGCACUUUGGAUGCUGCUAGACCUAGGGCGCCAAGUUAGAACUCUAUGCAAACACCCUUCCUUUAUUUGUUGAAUAAGUAAGUGUGCGCAGACCAGAGCCAGGACCUGCAAAUGUGCGUUGAAGCGGGCCUUCUUUAAACUUCCUCCCUCUGGGUAGUAAAAACCUCUCCUUGAGUUAAGAUUUGUGACUCUUGAUCUCCCUCCUCAGGGCCAUCUCAGUGACAGUCUACAAGACCUCUAUCCUGUCUCCUAAAUGUCAGACUCCUGCCAAUGAGGUCCGCUCCUCCUACAAGUUCCAGAAGCCCAUUUCCUAGAAAGUACAAAGUCUAUCAGGGAUGCAAAUACACAGCAAAUUGAAAAGUGACCAAAUGAAAAGUUGGGUCUUUCACUAGAACACAAUACUUUACAAAACAAGACCAACACAGAACAAAACAAAUCUGAAAAAUACUGGUUCUUGGCUAAGAAAGCAGCCUCUUGGCUUUAGAGCAAACCCUACCAGCAAACUUUUUUUCUUUUCUUUCUUUUUCUUUCUUUCGGUUUUUUGUUUGUUUGUUUGUUUGUUUGUUUUGUUUUGGGGUUUUUUGUUUUUUUAAUUUUUUUGAAAUUUUUCUUAUUUACAGUUAACCUAUGACUCCUGGUCCUUUUCAGAGCUCCCUACCCCAUUAGCACAAUCAAGAGCCAUCUUGGAAGAAAAAUAAAAUAGAAAAAAAGGAACCAAGAGAAAGAUAAGUGGGAGCUCCCUGUUCUCUGCUGCAUUGGUGCCUGCAGGUAAGAACUGGAAUAGCAGGGCUGAAGGAUAGGAUUAAAGGAGCCCCAUUUCCCCUCAAAAGUCCAAGUCACUUCCCCUCCCUGCCUACCUUUCUGUCUAGUAAAUGAAGCAAUGAGUUGUUCUCUAUGUCCUGAAUGCAGAUCAUGCACUGGACACCUCUCAGAGUAAGUCAGAGAUGUCAACUCUCAGGAGCAAACAUUCUGGGGUGGACAUGGGUAAUAGACUAACAAGAAUGUUCACUAAAGUGCCAAGGUGAAAAUGAAGCCAAGAAAUACGAAAAUUGAAAUAAAUGAAAACCAAGCACCUUCCCAGGCUACUUACUGCCCAUCUUCUGAGGGUCAUUUGCUGAAGUUCUGUAACUAAGACCAGGCAGGCUCUCUGACCUCAUCUACUCUAUGGCCACCAUGGGUAACUUAAUCUAGAAGCUCUUCCAUACUUGGCCCCAAGCUUAAAUCCUAACCCAAACCCUUAGAUAGGACUUGAUCCAAUCCCAGACCACUGACACAGGCCUGCUUGUACAAUUCUCAAGGAGGAAGAUAUUUUAUACUAAUUUUAGUUGUGCAAGUAAGAACUUGAAACAACAACAGCUCUGCUUUUGACUUUUAUUUUGCAGGGAUGAAGACCUUGGGGGCUCAUACAAAUUUAGCAAGUAUUCUGUUUUAGUUAGCCCCCAAGAACCCAAUCCUAAUUUUUAGAUAUGAAUAUUUAUAAGUGAAAACUUGUGAAAACUCAGUAAAUGUGCCCUUUAAUAUCUAUAAAUUUCCUGAAAUGAGUAAGUAGAUACAAAGUCUUAUUUCCAACAAAGAAGCUAUUUGCAAUUGACUAGUGCUGGGAAAGGGAAAAUUAGUUCUUUUAAUUAAAGUGUCACUGGGUAUAAUCAAUCACA
RNAcentral lists this long non-coding RNA (3187 nucleotides) under Mus musculus (house mouse). RNAcentral describes it as "predicted gene, 52562 (Gm52562)". Lineage: Eukaryota; Metazoa; Chordata; Mammalia; Rodentia; Muridae. The record is from RNAcentral.